AUGCGUGUGGCACUGGUGGUGCCCCGUUUGCCGGAGGCAGCACCGAGUCGAGCGGCCGGUGCUGCAAGAGGCUUCACGGUGGGUGGCGGCCUCUUCGGCGGCGACAGUGUGGCGACCCGCCUCCAUCCCCCUCUCCCUUCCUUGCCCGUGGCGAUGGACGAGGACCAUGGCCCGACCUCCUUCUCCAUAACCCGCACCCGCGCUCUCCUAUUUUCGCCGCUGGACUCUCAUCGCCACGGCGGCGGCGGCCCCUGCCUCCACUCCACGCUCCUCUUCUCUUCGUCGCGCACGGCGACAGAAGGAGGGGUUCUGAUGGGAGCAAGGCUUGCGACCCCUCCGUCACAACUGCUCCGGGGCCCGGACAAAGCCGAGGCCGUCUCUCGGUGGUGGUUGGCAUUCUGUUUGAUGCGGGCUGCAUCUACUCCCACGACAACGGCCAGCAACUAUGUGUUCACCAUCGGAGUUCUUCAGUAUCGCCCCGUCUCUGUCAUUAGCAAAAUUCAGGAUUGGCGAGAAGAAAAGUGA
RNAcentral lists this ribosomal RNA (525 nucleotides) under Triticum aestivum (bread wheat). RNAcentral's name for it is "partial small subunit ribosomal RNA". Lineage: Eukaryota; Viridiplantae; Streptophyta; Magnoliopsida; Poales; Poaceae. The record is from RNAcentral.